GACGUAGGGGGCAAGCGUUGUUCGGAAUUAUUGGGCGUAAAGCGCUCGUAGGCGGGACUGGAAGUCCGUGUUGAAAGACCUCGGCUCAACUGAGGGACCGGCUCGGAUACUCUAGUUCUUGAGGCAAUCAGAGGGUGAUGGAAUUCCCGGUGUAGCGGUGAAAUGCGUAGAUAUCGGAAGGAACACCUGUGGCGAAAGCGGCUCACUGGACCACAACUGACGCUGAGGCACGAAAGCUAGGGGAGCAAACAGG
Molecule: ribosomal RNA, 253 nt
Filed under: uncultured bacterium
Lineage: Bacteria
Description: partial 16S ribosomal RNA
Rfam family: Bacterial small subunit ribosomal RNA
Source: RNAcentral